Molecule: ribosomal RNA, 265 nt
Filed under: uncultured bacterium
Lineage: Bacteria
Description: partial 16S ribosomal RNA
Rfam family: Bacterial small subunit ribosomal RNA
Source: RNAcentral
UACAGAGGUGGCAAGCGUUGUUCGGAAUUACUGGGCGUAAAGGGCGCGUAGGCGGCCUCCUAAGUCGGACGUGAAAUCCCCAGGCUUAACCUGGGAACGUGCGUCCGAUACUGGGAGGCUUGAGUUCGGGAGAGGGAUGUGGAAUUCCAGGUGUAGCGGUGAAAUGCGUAGAUAUCUGGAGGAACACCGGUGGCGAAGGCGGCAUCCUGGACCGAAACUGACGCUGAGGCGCGAAAGCCAGGGGAGCAAACGGGAUUAGAAACCC